RNAcentral lists this ribosomal RNA (422 nucleotides) under uncultured bacterium. RNAcentral's name for it is "bacterial SSU rRNA". It matches the Rfam family "Bacterial small subunit ribosomal RNA", at positions 355 to 774 of the family's 1533-position model. The record is from RNAcentral.
UGAGGAAUAUUGGGCAAUGCCCGCAAGGGUGACCCAGCAACGCCGCGUGGAGGAUGAAUGUCGUAAGAUUGUAAACUCCUGUUAGAGGGGAAGAAUAGUACCGGUUGGACCGGUAUAUGACUGUACCCUCAGAGAAAGCCCUGGCUAACUACGUGCCAGCAGCCGCGGUAAUACGUAGGGUGCAAGCGUUAAUCGGAAUUACUGGGCGUAAAGCGUGCGCAGGCGGUUCGGAAAGAAAGGUGUGAAAUCCCAGGGCUUAACCUUGGAACUGCACUUUUAACUACCGGGCUAGAGUACGUCAGAGGGGGGUAGAAUUCCACGUGUAGCAGUGAAAUGCGUAGAGAUGUGGAGGAAUACCGAUGGCGAAGGCAGCCCCCUGGGAUGAUACUGACGCUCAUGCACGAAAGCGUGGGGAGCAAACA